UACAGAGGCCUCGAGCGUUAGGCGGAAUCACUGGGCUUAAAGCGUGUGUAGGCGGACCCCUAAGUACCUUGUGAAAUCCCACGGCUCAACCGUGGAACUGCUGGGUAUACUGGUUGUCUUGAGCCAGCUAGGGGCGAGCGGAACAGACGGUGGAGCGGUGAAAUGCGUAGAUAUCGUCUGGAACGCCGAAGGUGAAAACAGCUCGCUGGGGCUGCGCUGACGCUGAGACACGAAAGCCAGGGGAGCGAACGGG
RNAcentral lists this ribosomal RNA (253 nucleotides) under uncultured bacterium. Its description in RNAcentral is "partial 16S ribosomal RNA". It matches the Rfam family "Bacterial small subunit ribosomal RNA", at positions 524 to 776 of the family's 1533-position model. The record is from RNAcentral.